AUUGAACGCUGGCGGCAGGCCUAACACAUGCAAGUCGAGCGGAUGAAGGGAGCUUGCUCCUGGAUUCAGCGGCGGACGGGUGAGUAAUGCCUAGGAAUCUGCCUGGUAGUGGGGGAUAACGUCCGGAAACGGGCGCUAAUACCGCAUACGUCCUGAGGGAGAAAGUGGGGGAUCUUCGGACCUCACGCUAUCAGAUGAGCCUAGGUCGGAUUAGCUAGUUGGUGGGGUAAAGGCCUACCAAGGCGACGAUCCGUAACUGGUCUGAGAGGAUGAUCAGUCACACUGGAACUGAGACACGGUCCAGACUCCUACGGGAGGCAGCAGUGGGGAAUAUUGGACAAUGGGCGAAAGCCUGAUCCAGCCAUGCCGCGUGUGUGAAGAAGGUCUUCGGAUUGUAAAGCACUUUAAGUUGGGAGGAAGGGCAGUAAGUUCAUACCUUGCUGUUUUGACGUUACCAACAGAAUAAGCACCGGCUAACUUCGUG
RNAcentral lists this ribosomal RNA (484 nucleotides) under uncultured bacterium. RNAcentral's name for it is "partial 16S ribosomal RNA". It matches the Rfam family "Bacterial small subunit ribosomal RNA", at positions 30 to 507 of the family's 1533-position model. The record is from RNAcentral.